GAUGAACGCUGGCGGCGUGCCUAAUACAUGCAAGUCGAGCGAACAGACGAGGAGCUUGCUCCUCUGACGUUAGCGGCGGACGGGUGAGUAACACGUGGAUAACCUACCUAUAAGACUGGGAUAACUUCGGGAAACAGGAGCUAAUACCGGAUAAUAUAUUGAACCGCAUGGUUCAAUAGUGAAAGACGGUUUUGCUGUCACUUAUAGAUGGAUCCGCGCCGCAUUAGCUAGUUGGUAAGGUAACGGCUUACCAAGGCAACGAUGCGUAGCCGACCUGAGAGGGUGAUCGGCCACACGAGAACUGAGCCACGGUCCAGACUCCUACGGGAGGCAGCAGUAGGGAAUCUUCCGCAAUGGGCGAAAGCCUUACGGAGCAACGCCGCGUGAGUGAUGAAGGUCUUCGGAUCGUAAAACUCUGUUAUUAGGGAAGAACAAAUGUGUAAGUAACUAUGCACGUCUUGACGGUACCUAAUCAGAAAGCCACGGCUAACUACGUG
Molecule: ribosomal RNA, 497 nt
Filed under: uncultured bacterium
Lineage: Bacteria
Description: partial 16S ribosomal RNA
Rfam family: Bacterial small subunit ribosomal RNA
Source: RNAcentral